UACGUAGGGUGCGAGCGUUGUCCGGAAUUAUUGGGCGUAAAGGGCUCGUAGGCGGUUUGUCGCGUCGGGAGUGAAAACACCGGGCUUAACUCGGUGCUUGCUUCCGAUACGGGCAGACUAGAGGUAUGCAGGGGAGAACGGAAUUCCUGGUGUAGCGGUGAAAUGCGCAGAUAUCAGGAGGAACACCGGUGGCGAAGGCGGUUCUCUGGGCAUUACCUGACGCUGAGGAGCGAAAGUGUGGGGAGCGAACAGGAUUAGAAACCCCAGUAGUCC
This 273-nucleotide ribosomal RNA is filed under the name uncultured bacterium. Its description in RNAcentral is "partial 16S ribosomal RNA". It matches the Rfam family "Bacterial small subunit ribosomal RNA", at positions 524 to 796 of the family's 1533-position model. The record is from RNAcentral.